AAACAAUGUAUAUUCACUUUUACUACCAACCAAUCUUUACCAUUCAGUGAUAACAAGCACUUUAUUUUACAUUUUAAUAUUUUAUGAUGUAUUUAAAGAGUAGUUAUUGUUGCAAACUCCAUUAGAAAUUUGAAUUGAUAUCAGUUUUGGAAAAAGGGAAACAGGGAUGUGAAAAAAAAAGGGGGGGGUUAAAUUUUUCUCAUUUCAGAUUUCAUAAAUAAAAAGAAAAUUUCUUCAAACAUUUUUUUGAGAGGAUUAAUAUUCAACAGCAUAGUGAAUUGCUCAAAGGCAAAAAAAAACUUUUAAGUUCAUUAGACC
RNAcentral lists this long non-coding RNA (318 nucleotides) under Mytilus galloprovincialis (Mediterranean mussel). The record is from RNAcentral. Lineage: Eukaryota; Metazoa; Mollusca; Bivalvia; Mytilida; Mytilidae.